AUGCCUCAAAGGAAUGGCACAAGUAUCCAUUCCAAUGCGAAGCCUUGGCAUAACGGCUCCCAGAAACUGCUCAUCUUCUUGGAAGUGGUUCUCCUGUAAAGAUUCCAGCAAUUUUUGCAAGACAUCUUGGGGCACUUUGCAACCUGUGCCCUUCAGUUCAGUGAAUCUGGUUAGCCAGAAGCUUUUGUCCAAUUCAUAACUUUCCAGGUUAAAGGACUCCCGCUUAGACAUGGUUCUUGGGCCCCGCUCUCCUCACAGCUCAGCCCCUCCCCUCCCUCUGUGGGUUGGCUGGGUUCUUUAUGGAUCCACCGGCUGGCUUUGCACCCUCCGCCUCCUCCCAAAAACGGGCUGCGGGCCGCUCCCACAAUGCACCGGGCACGGCCGGACUCCCUUAAGCGUCGCCUGAAUAAAAAUGCCACGCCUGGUGGCAGUAGCAGUGGCAGCCCAGGCCCAUGCCUGGGUGCUGCGGGGGCUCACCUGGCUUGGCAUAGCCCUGUGGGAGCCAGGCCAUGGCACUCAUGCCUGCUGGGCAUGUGGGGCUACGUUUGGUCUUUGAUGUUGGUUAUCUACAGAUGGGGUUUUUAUGUGGAUGUCCUUUUUGUUGAUAUUGAUGUUAUUUCUUUCUGUUUGCUAGUUUUCCUUCUAACAGUCAGGUCCCUCAGCUGCAGGUCUGUUGGAGUUUUCUGGAGGUCCAUCCAGCCCGUUUGCCUGGGUAUCACCAGCAGAGGCUGCAGAACAGUAGAUAUUGCAGAACACCACAUAUUGCUCCCUGAUUUUUCCUCUGGAAGCUUCGUCCCAGAGGGAAGCCGCCUAUAUGAUGUGUCUAUUGGCCCCUACUGGGAGGUGUCUCCCAGUUAGGCUACACCGCAGUCAGGGACCCACAUGAGGAGGCAGUCUGUCUGUUCUCAGAGCUCAAAUGCCAUACUGGGAGAACCACUGCUCUCUUCAGUUCUGUCAGACAGGGAUGUUUAAGUUUGCAGAAGUUGUCUGCUGCCUUUUGUUUAGCUACGCCCUGCCCACAGAGGUGGAUUCUAUAAAGGCAGUAGGCCUUGCUGAGCUGUGGUGGGCUCCACCCAGUUUGAGCUUCCCGGACACUUUGUUUACCUAGUAAAGCCUCAGCAAUGGCAGGUGCCCCUCCCCCAGCAAGGCUGCAGCCUUGCAGGUCGAUCUCAAACUGCUGCACUAGCAGUGAGCAAGGCUCCAUGUGUGUGGGACUCACCGAGCCAGGCACGGGAGAGAAUCUCCUAGACUGCCGGUUGCUAAGACUGUGGGAAAAAUGCAGUAUUUGGGUGGGAGUGUCCCGUUUUUCCAGGUACAGUCUGUCACGGCUUCCCUUGGCUAGGAAAGGGAAAUUCCCUGACCCCUUGCACUUCCCAGUUAAGGUGAUGCCCCACCCUGCUUCGGCUCACCCUCCAUGGGCUGCACUCACUGUCCAAUCAGGCCCAGUGAGAUGAACCAGUUACCUCAGCUGGAAAUGCAGAAAUCACCCAACUUCUGCAUCAAUGACACUGGGAGCUGCAGACUGGAGCUGUUCCUAUUCGGCCAUCUUCAGCCAUCGGUCAAAUUUGUCAUUUUAUAAGUAUCCCAUUCCCACAACAAUGAACACACUUCCAUGAUAACAGCAUUAAUCAUUUAUGAGGUUGGUGUCCCAUGACCCAAAAACUACCCAUCAGGCCCUCAAUCCUUUAUUGUAGAGUUUUUAUAUGUGGUUUAAGUUAGGUUGCUUUCAGCUUAAAAUAGACUGUUAUAACCUUAAGAUGUUUUAUAUAAGCCUGAUGGUAACAACAAAAAGAAAAGCUCUAGUAGAUACAUAAAAGAUAAAGAGAAAGAAAUAAAAACAUACCACUACAAAAAAAAUCAUUAAAGUAUGAAGGAAGACAGCAAGAGAGGAAUAAAGUAACAAAGAAACUACAAACAUAAAACAAUGCUAAAAUUGACAAUAAAGCCAGCAACGGUGACACAUGUCUGUGGUCCCAGCUACUGAGGAGGAUGAGGUGUGAGGAUUGCUUGAGGUUAAUAGUGUGGGGCUGUAGUGUGCUAUGAUUGUGCCUAUUAAUAGCUGCUGCAAUUCAGCCUGGACAACAUAGCAAGACAGUGUUCUCCAAAAAUAAAUAAAUAAAAAUUUAAAAUGCCAAUAGUUUUUUAAAUUACUCUCCCACUUGCAAAGACAAAACAAUGUGUAGAGAUUUACACUAUGAACAUUUUUUUUUCCCAAGAAGCAACACAGAAACUUAAAAGGAAAAGUGAAAGAAACCACAUACCCUUUGAAAGAAGUGUUGGGCUGCAGCCUACACUGUGAGCCAGGCAGAAAACUAAGUCCCAGAAUGUGAGAGGGGGAUAAACUGCCUCCAGGAUACACACUCCCACUGGGAACCCAGCAAUUCAGGCCACAGGGGAUGAACUUAACUCUACCAGCACUGGAACUUAUUUAGUGACUGGUGGGGAGUAUAUUAUAAGUAGCAGAAACAGGACGUGCCUUGCAUGCAUUUCCAUUCUCCAGCAGAGAUGGAGGGAAGCCAUUCCUGAUCCUACCUCACACAGGACCUCACAGAAGUCUGCCAGCUAACUCAAGUAGUGUUCACAGGUUGAGAGAAGCUCCCAACUGAGCUUCAUGAUAUAAUCCAGAACCGAGGGGGCAAGUAGGAAGUAAACUGUAGACAUGGGUUCAGGAGCUGGUUGUCCCUGCUUUGUGGGCAGACUGGGAAAGAUAUAGCCCCAUAGCUACAGUUUAUGUCUCCCUGGGGAAGGCUUAUGGCCUAGGGCAGUUUUGAGUUUUGAAGGCAGACUGUCUAGAAUCUAGCUAGCUGCUGCUAGCGGAAUAAUGUUGGUGUGAGGCCUGCUUUGCUAAGUGCAUGGGAGCUAGGUGGGGCUUAGCUUACUGCUGCCUGCUAAUCUCUAUUCCCCAUAUGGAUUCUUCCGUGCAGCAGAGACAGCUGUAGUCUUCCCUGGAACAUUAACCUGGUGGCCAGAAAACUAUCCUCCAAACCACUAGGGCCACUGCUGGCACUCACAUGUGGAGAGCCAGAGUGUUUGACUUGUCUGACCCAGCCCCCACAUAGCUUUGCCCCUCCACCUACCCUGGUAUCUUAACACAAAGGAAAGAAAAUUUUGAGAAGUCUAUGGCCCUGCUCAUUGCCUGAGAUACCAGAGUACCUCCCCUGGGUAAUAAAAGGCAAGUACAAAUCCCACUGCUACCACAGCAGCUGGUGCUCUUUUGCAAGUGCCACCUCCUGGCUGGAGGCCAACCAACAUAGUCCAUUACAGCACCUGCAGGCAGAAUAACACAGCACCUAGCAAGGAGAAAACUUGGGCAUGUUCUAAGCUAUCAUCAUUGCCUGCAUCACUCUGGCUAAGUAGGAGGUCCUGAGUCUGUCCAUGUGACCAGUUUAUUACUAUUAUAGCUUGCAGUUGAGAAAGCCAACACUCUAAGUCUAUUUAUAACCAAGGAAUCUCACAGAGUCUAUAUCACUCCCCUGCCACCCCCAUCAGAGCUGAUGCUGGUACCCGCUGCUGGGAGACUUUGUAUGAUGGCUGGGAGAGGUCAUAUCACUAGAUCCCUUGUAGACAUUCUCCAGCACCAGCAUGGCAUAUGGAAUCCCCACUGAACAGCUAGACUCAGAGGAGCAGCAGCAUUCACUGUAAUCUGACCCUCAGGGACUCCUGCUCCUGGAAGAAAGCGGGGAGUGAACCCCAUCAAGAGAGCACCCUGUUUGACAAAAUAAUCCAGAAGGCAAGCCUUGAGUCCCUGAACUUUCUGCUUGUGGGAAGUUUCUAUCAGCAGAGGCACAAGUGCAGGACUGAGCUCAGUGUGGAAAGUUAUGUGGCUCUACCACGAUAGUCUGGCAGCCCUGGUACUUGUGAAGGGUCUUGGAGAAGGGGACUUUCUCUUCCCCUUACUUAGCACUGCAGACACAGCUGCAGCUUCUCCCAUGGGAACUUAGCAUGGGUGAACAUGUAAACAGCCUUCCUGAAGCACUUCAGGGUGAUAGCAUCCCCCAAAAAGGAGUGCCUUGCAGGUUCAGGCUUGCACUAGUAGAGCCACCAUCCCUCUCUACAUUAAACAUAAGCAUUCCUGCAGAUUAAAAGAGGUACCUGUCUGAUCUGAAUAGCAGGAACACUGUGUCAGGAGUGUGACUGGGAGGCAGAUUGUUUUCUUGCUGGCCUGGCAGGGGAGCAAGAUGGCUUUCUUCCUUCUCCCAUGAAAGGACCUUGGUGUGUUUCACUGAGAGCUCCCCCAGCCACCUCUGUCAAGGUUGGGUUGUCUGCCCACUACUGGGUAUUGUGUUUACCUACCUGCUUUAGCCACAGCCAGUUUUCACCUGUAGACACCAUCCCCUACUGCCCUGAAGACUGAACUAUUCAACCUAGUAAAUAAAAUACUGAGAAAAAAAUAAAUCAAUAAAAAAGUACACACCACUGGGGAUAAAGAAGUUUCAAAUGACCUCUGCUAUUUCAACCCUACAGGAGACAGUAAACCUGCUCACACAUUGAGAAUAUUGCUACUACAACCAGCAUCUGAGUAAGCAAUGACGUAAAGACUCUCUAUAACCAAGGAACUCAUACCAAAUCUUUACCUCCAACACUCAGAGCCAAAUUAGGUUACAAUAAACUAUAAUCAGCCAGGUGUGGUGGCUCACACCUGUAAUCCUAGCACUUUGGGAGGCUGAGGUGGGUGGAUCACAAGAUCAGGAGAUCAAGACCAUCCUGGCUAACAUGGUGAAACCCCAUCUCUACUAAAAAUACAAAAAAAUUAGCUGGGCGUGGUGACGAGCGCCUGUAGUCCCAGCUACUCAGGAGGCUAAGGAAGGAGAAUGGCAUGAACCCAGGAGGUAGAGCUUGCAGUGAGCUGAGAUAGCACCACUGCACUCCAGCCUGGGUGACAGAGCGAGACUCCAUCUCAAAUAAAUAAAUAAAUAAAUAAUAAACUAUAAUCAUUAAAGUCACACCCUCAAAGGGUAAAAAGGAAAUAAAAACCACAGUAGAAUUAAAAAGUAAUUAGAAGAAAUAGUCUACCUAAAUGAGAUGGAAUCAGAAAAAUAAUUCUGGAAAUAUGACAAAACAGGUUCUAUAGCUCCCCCCAAAGAUCAUGCUAGCUCUCCAGCAAUGGAUCCAAACCAAGACAAAAAUCUCUGAAAUACCAGAUAAAGAAUUCAAAAGGUUGGUUUUUAAGUUACUCAAGGAGACACAAGAGAAAGGUGGAAGUAAACCUAAAGAAAGUUAAAAAAGUUCAAAAUACAAAUAAAAUUUUUUAAAAGAAAUAGAUAUAUUUUUUUAAAAAAUCAGAACUUUUGGAAAUGGAAUAUACAUUUUGAAAACUACAAAAUGCAGUGGAUUUAACAAUAGACUACACCAAGUAGAAGAAAUAAUUUCAGAGCUUGAAGACAAGGCUUUUGAAUUAACUCAAUCAGACAAAAAUUAAGAAGGAAGAAUAUGGGGGGUGGGGCCAAGAUGACCAACUAGAAGCAGUGGUGACCGGAGGCUGUCAUGGAAAAGAUCCAAAACGGUUUGCAAAUCUUGCACCAGCAACUGAGGUAUCCAGGUUCUGUCAUUAGGACUGACAAGGUAGCUGGCAUGACCCAUGGAAAGGAAGGAAGAGCUGCACAGAUUGUCCAACAGCCACUGGGGUAGAAUCAGUCUAAGCCUGAUGGGUUCCUGGUGGGAGGGGCAGCCAUCACCACUGCUGUGGCUGCCUGCUGUCUAAGCCAUCUGAGCUCCUUGAAGGAGGGGCAGCAGCCAACACAGCAGCUGCAGGGCCUCCCUGUAGAAACUCCAACUCCAGCCAGGGGCUCAGGGAGAGAAUUCUUAUCUCCCUGGGCCUGAGCCCCUCGGGGGAAAUGUAAUCACAGUCUCUGCCAACCAGCAGACUCAGUCUUUCCUCCUGCUACCUGUGAGGAAUCUGGGCAGCACAGACGAGUGGGUUUCCCUGCCACGCAGCACACCCCCUCCAUUAAGGGAAAGCCAAAUGGGUCCUGCUUCCCAUUCCACCCAACUGGGUAAGACCCCCCUUUGCAGGGACAUGGAUGAAGCUGGAAGCCAUCAUCAUUAACAAACUAACACAGGAACAAAAAAACAAACACUGCAUGUUCUCACUCAUAAGUGGGAGUUGAACAAUGAGAAUGCAAAGACACAGGGAGGAAAACGACACACACCGGGGCCAGUCAGGGGGUGGGGGGUGAAGGGAACAAGAGCAUUAAGACAAAUAGCUAAUGCAUGCAGGGCUCAAAACCUAGGUGACGGGUUGAUAGAUGCAGCAAAUCACCAUGGCACACAUGUACCUAUGUAACAAACCUACACGUUCUGCACUUGUAUCCUUAAACUUAAAGUAAAAAAAAAAAAAACAAAAAACCCAUAAUCCAUCACAUAAACAGAACUAAUGACAAAAACCACAUGACAAUUUCAGUAGAUGCAGAAAAGGCCUUUGAUAAAAUUCCACAUCCCUUCAUGUUAAAUGCCCUCUCUCACCACUCCUAUUCAACAUAGUAUUGGAAGUUCUGGCCAGGGGAAUUAGGCAAGAGAAAGAAAUAAAGGGUAUCCAAAUAGGAGAUAGGAAGUCAAAUUGUCUCUGUUUGCAGAUAACAUAAUUCUAUAUUUAGAAAACCCCAUCAUUGCAGCCCAAAAACUUUAAGCUGAUAAGCAACUUCAGCAAAGUCUCAGGAUAUAAAAUCAAUGUGCAAAAAUCACAAGCAUUUCUAUAAACCAACAUUAGACAAGCAGAGAAUCAAAUCAUGAAUGAACUCUUAUUCACAAUUGCUACAAAGAGAAUAAAAUACCUAGAAAUACAGCUAACAAGGGAUGUGAAAGACCUCUUCAAGGAGAACUAUGAAACCACUGCUCAAGGAAAUAAGAGAAGAAAAAAACAAAUGGAAAAGCAUUCCAUUCUCAUGGAUAGAAAAAAUUGAUAUCAUAAAAAUGGCCAUACUGCCUAAAGUAAUUUACAGAUUCAAUGUUAUUUUCAUCAAACUACCAUUGACAUUCUUCACAGAAUUAGAAAAAACUACUUUAAAUUUCAUAUGGAACCAAAAAAGAGCCUGCAUAGCCACGACAAUCCUAAGCAGAAAGAACAAAGCUGGAGGCAUCAUGCUACCUGACUUCAAACUAUACUGCAAGCCUACAGUAACCAGAACAGCAUGGUACCAGUACCAAAAUAGACAUAUAGACCAAUGGAAAAAAACAGAAACCUCAGAAAUAACACCACACAUCUACAACCAUCUGAUCUUUGACAAACCGAACAAAAGCCAUGGGGGAAGGCAUUCCUUAUUUAAUAAGUGGUGCUGGGAAAACUGGCUAGCCAUAUGCAGAAAACUGAAACUGACCCCUUCCUUCCACCUUGUACAAAAAUCAACUCAAGAUAGAUUAAAGGCUUAAAUGUAAAACCCCAAACCAUAAAAACCCUAGAAGAAAACCUAGGCAAUACCAUUCAGGACAUAGGCACGGGCAAAGAUUUUAUGAAGAAAUCACCAAAAUCAAUUGCAAUGAAAGCAAAAACUGACAAAUGGGACCUAAUUAAACUAAAGAGUUACUGCACAGCAAAAGAAACUAUCAUCAGAGUGAACAGGCAACCUACAAAUGGAAGAAAAUUUUAGCAAUCUACCAAUCUGAAAAAGGUCUAGUGGAAGAUCCCACUUGAGAGCCCACACAACUGGAAUCUACAAGGAACUUAAAGAAAUUUACAAGAAAAAAACAAACAAACCCAUCAAAAAGUGAGCAAAGGAUAUGAACAGACACUUUUCAAAAGAAGAUAUUUAUGCAGCCAGCAAACACAUGAAAAAAAGCUCAACACCACUGAUCAUUAUAGAAAUGCAAAUCAAAACUACAAUGAGAUACCAUCUCAUGCCCAUCAGAAUGGCGAUUAUUAAAAAGUCAAGAAAUGACAGAUGCUGGUGAGGCUGUGGAGAAAUAGAAAUGCUUUUACAUUAUUGGUGGGAAUGUAAAUUAGUUCAACCAUUGUGGAAGACAGUGUGGUGAUUUCUCAAGGACCUAGAACCAGAAAUACCAUUUGACCCAGCAAUUCCAUUACUGGGUAUAUACCCAAAGGAAUAGAACUCAUUCUAUUAUAAAGAUACAUGCACACAUAUUUUUAUUGCAGUACUAUUCACAAUAGGAAUGACAUAGAACCAACCCAAAUGCCCAUCAAGGAUAGACUGGAUAAAGAAAAUGUGGGCUGGGUGCGGUGGCUCACUCCUGUAAUCCCAGCACUUUGAAAGGCCAAGGUGGGCAGAUCAUGAUGUCAAGACAUUGAGACCAUCCUGGCCAACACAGUGUAACCGCGUCUCUACUAAAAAUACAAAAAUUCACCAGGCAUGGUGGCGCACACCUGUAUUCCCAGCUACUCUGGAGGCUGAGGCAGGAGAAUUACUUGAACCUGGGAGGCAGAGGUUGCAGUGAGCCAAGAUCAUGCCCCUGUACUCCAGCCUGGUGAGAGAGCAAGACUCCAUCAAAAAAAAAAAAAAAAAAAAAAAAAAGAAAGAAAGAAAGAAAGAAAGAAAAUGUGGUAUGUAUACACCAUGGAAUACUAUGCAGCCCCCAAAAAUAUUGAGAUCAUGUCCUUCGCAGGGACAUGGAUGAAGCUGGAAGCCAUCAUCCUUAGGAAACUAACACAGGAGCAGAAUACCAAACACCAUAUGUUUUCACUCAUAAGUGGGAGUUGAUCAGUAGAACUCAUGGACACAGGGAGGGAAACAGCACAUACUGGGGCCUGUCAGGUGUGGGUGAUGGGAGGGAGAGCACCAGAACAAAUAGCUAAUGCAUGCAGGGCUUAAAACCUAGGUGAUGGGUUGAUAGGUGCAGCAAACUACCAUGGCACACAUAUACCUAUGUAAUAAAUCUGCAUGUCUGCAUGUUCUGCACAUGUAUUCCAGAACUUAAAAUAAAAAAAAAGAAUCAAAAGAAAUGAACAAAGUCUCCAAGAAAUGUGAAAUUAUGUAAAAUGGCCAAACAUAAAAAUCACUGGUGUUCCUGAGGGAGGAAAAAAAAAGAGUUUGGAACAUUUAUUUGAGGGAAUAAUUGAAGAAAAUUUCUGGGCCUUGCUAGAGGUUUAGACAUCCAAAUACAAGAAGUUCAAAGAACUCCUGGGAGAUUCCUUUCAAAAAGAACAUCACUGAAGCAUGUAGUCAUCAGGCUAUCUAAAAUCAGAGUGUAGAAAAGAACUCUAAAAGCAGUGAGACAAAAGCAUCACAUAACCUAUAAAGAAAAUUCUAUUAGAUUAACAGCAGACUUCUCAGAAGAAACCUUACAAGCCAGAAGUGAUUAAGGUCUUAUAUUUAGCCCCCUUAAAUAGAAUAACUGUCAGUCAAUAAUUUUGUAUCCCAUAAAACUAAGUUUUAUAAAUGAAGGAGAAAGAAAGUAUUUUUCAGACAAGCAAAUACUGAGGAAAUUGGUCACUACCAGACCAGACUUACAAGAAAUGCUAAAAGGAUUUCUACAUCUUGAAACCAAAGUUCCAUAUGUACCAGAAUAGAACCUCUUCAAAGCAUAAGACUCACAGAGUGUAUGAAACAGUACCACAAUGAAGAAAACAAAGUAUCUCUGGAACAGUAUCUUAUAUCUCAAUAUUAACAUUGAAUGUAAAUGGCCUAAAUGCUUCACUUAAAAAAUAAAGAUUGGCAGAAUGGAUAAAAAAUGUCACAAACUAAAUAUUUUCAAAACAUUCACCUAAUAUGUAAUGAUUCUUAUAAACUCACAGUAAAGGAGUAGAAAAAGGUAUUGCAUGCAAAUGGAAAUCAAAAGCAAGCAGUAGCAGGUAUUCUUAUAUAAAACAGGCUUUAAAGCAACAACACUAAAACAAGACAAAAAGUCAUUAUAUAAUGAUAAAAGGAUCAAUGCAACAAGAAGAUAUUAUAAUACCAUCUUAAACAUAUAUGCACCUGAAAUCAAGAUGGAAAUUUCAAAAUUCUUCAAAGUAAAUGAUAAUAGUAACCCAAGUUAUAAAAUCCUCUGGGAUACAGCAAAAGCAAUGCUAAGAGGAAAGUUUAUAUCACGAAAUGCCUACAUCAAAAAGUCUGAAAGGUCACAAAUUGACAACUUAAUGUCACACCACAAGGAAUUAGAGAAAUAAGAAUAAACUGAACCCAAAGCUAGCAGAAGAAAAGAAAUAACAAAGAUCAAAGCAAAACUAAAUGAAAUGGGUACAAAAAAUACAAAAAAUUAAUGAAACAAAAGUUCAGUUUCUGAAAAGAUAAGCAAAAUUGAUAGCCCAUUAGCUAGAAUAACAGAGAAAUGAAGAGAGAAAAUUCAAAUAAGUUCAAGUAGAAAUAAAAAUGGAGAACAUUACAACUAACACCACAGAAAUAUAAAAGAUCAUUCAAGACUACUAUGAACACCUCUAUGCACACAAACUAGAAAAUCUAGAGGAAAUGGGUAAAUUUCUGAAAAUAUACAACCCUUAGCUUAAAUCAGGAAGAAAUAAUAGAAAUUCAGAACAGACCAGCAACAAGCAGUGAGGGUGAAUUAGUAAUAAAAAAAAAUGCCAACAAUAAAAAAAGCCUAGGGUCAGAUGGAUUCACAGCUGAAUUCUAUCAGAUCUUCAAAGAAGAAUUGGUACCAAUUCUACUGAAACCACUCCAAAAGACUGAGAAAAAGGAAAUCCUUCCUAACUCAUUCUAUGAGGACAGUAUCACCCUGAUACCAAAGACAGGAAAUAACAUAAUAAAAAUGAAAACUACAGACCAAUAUUCCUGAUGAACAUAGAUGCAAACAUCCUCAACAAAAUACUAGCAAACUAAAUCUAAUAUCAGGAAGCAGAGGGUCCUUGGUUCUUGUCUUCUUGGAAGAAAGAAUUCAACCAAGAGAAAAGCAGUUACAGUUAAGACUAGGAAAGUUUAUUUAAAGUGAAAAUAUACCCUGAAUGCUGAGUUAGAGUGGGCUGCUUAAGAAUGAGACAGCCCAGAUAGGCACGGGGAGGCUCUCUUACGAGAGUCUCACAGGAUUAUUCAUGAAUGGUGUGAAGGAGUGUUAUUAGCAAGCACGUUUUGGGUGGUCCCCUGGGCAUGUCUUAUUAGCAUCUUAAAUCUCGACCUAGGGGUGUGUUUCUUACUAUUAUAAUGAGCAAAAUGUUACCUUUAGGGUGACACUGCCAAGUUGAGGUGUGCGUGCUAGCCACUGGGAAAAGUCCCUACUACAGUCAUUUCCUGUUACGGAUAAGUCUUGGUUGGGGCUGCAUAAGCAUAACCACAAGUCUAGAUGUGGCUAUUGGCUUUUUAAAAAAUCCUAACUGCUAGGGAAGCAUUGAUUGCUAGUGGGGCAAUGUUUCCAGGGCUUCCUUCCUCCAGGGCUGCCUUUCUUUCUUAUGUAUAUCUGUCUACAAACUCUAACAAAUCCAACAGCACAUCAAAAAGAUAAUUCAUCAUGAUCAAGUGGGUUUUAUCCCAGGGAUGUUACCACAAAUGAAUCAGGAAGAAGUGAAAAAUCUGUAUAGACCAAUAGCAAGUAGGGAGAUCAAAGGACGUUAAUGAGCAAUAACCUCUUGAAGGUACAAAACUCUCUGGUAAUAGUUAAGUAUACAGAAAACACAGAAUAUUACAAUAUUGAAAGUGUGGUGUGUAAGCUACUCUUACUCCAAGUAGAAAAACUAAAUGAUCCUCAACAAAAUACUAUAAAACAGAAUUCAACAAUAGAUUAGAAAAACCAUUCAUCAUGCCCAAGUGGGAUGUGAGAAGGGUUCAACAUACACACAUCAAUCAAUGUGAUAAAUCAUACAACAAAAUAAAGGAUAAAAACCACAUAAUCAUUUCAAUGAAUGCUGAGAAAGCAUUUGAUAAAAUUCAACAUUGCUUCAUAAUAAAAAGGUACAUAUUCACAAUGGAGCAUGAUUCUGUGAUAAAAAGAAUGUGAUUCAAUCACUUGCAACAACAUGGAUGGAACUGGAGAUCAUUUUGUUUAACAAAAUGAAUCAGAUACAGAAAGACAAACAUCGCAUGUUCUCACCUAUUUGUGGGAUCUGAAAAUCAAAGACACAUAUAUAUGAAAAGAUACCCCAUGUUCAUGAAUUGGAAGAAUUAAUAAAGUAUCCAUACUAUCCAAAGUGAUCUACAGAUUUAAUGUAAUUCCUAACAAAAUUCCAAUAUCAUUUUUCAAAAAAAUAGCAAAAAAUCCUAAAAUUAGUAUGUAACCACAAAAGUCCCCAAAUAGCAAAACCAAUCUUGAGCAAAAAGAACAAAGCCGAAGGCAUCAUACUUCAUGAUUUCAAACUAUAUUGCAAAGCUACGUAAUCAGAAUAGUAUCAUACUGGCAUAAGAACAGACAAAUAGACCAAUGGAAGAGAAUAGUGAGUCCAGUAAUGAACUCACAUAUAUAUGGUCAACUAAUCUUUGACAAGGAUGCCAAGAAUGCACAAUUGGUAAAAGAUAGUCUUUUCAAUAACUGGUGUUGAGAAACAGCAUAUCCAGACUCAAAAGGAUGUAAUUUCACCCUUAGCAUAUACCAUAAGAAAAAAUUAACUCAGAACAGAUUAAACUUACAUGUAAGUUCUGAACAAAAACUUCUAAAAGAAAAUAUAGAGAAAAAGCUCCUUGACAUUGGUCUUGGAAUGAUUUGUUAAAUAUGAUGGUGAAAACACAGGCAACAACAAAAAAAAACAAGUGGGACUGUAUCAAACUAAAAAGUUUCUGCAAAACAACAAAAUGAAAAGGCAAACCCCAGAAAUAGAGAAAAUAUUUUCAAGUCAAACAUUCCACAAGUGGUUAAUGUCUAAAUAUAUAAGGAACUCCUACAAGUCAAAAGUAAAAAAGAAAAUCUGAUUAAAAAAUGAUCAGAGGACCUGAAUAGAUAUUUUUCAAAGAGGACAUACAAAUGGCCAACAAGUAUGUAAAAAGGUGCUCAGCAUCAAUAAUCAUCAGGUAAAUGCAAAUUAAAACUGUAAUGACAUAUUACUUCAUACCUAUUAGGAUGGCUAUUAUCAAAAAGUCAAAAGAUAAGUGUUAGUAAGGAUGUGGAAAAAAGGAAACCCUUGUACACUGUUGUAGUGAAUGUAAGUUGGUACAACCAUUAUGGAAAAAAGUAUGGAGGUUCCUCAAAAAAUUUAAAAGAGAAUUACCACAGGAGCCAGCAAUUCCAUUUCUGGAUAUAUAUUUAAAGGAAAUGAAAGCAGUAUAUCCAAGAGAUAUUGUCAUCACCAUAUUCAUUGCAGCAUUAUUCGCAAGAUCCAAUAUAUCAAUAUAAUCUAAACGUCCACUGAUAAAUAAAGAAAAUGUGGUAUAAAAUGAGAUACCACUUCACACCAGUCAGAAUGGCUAUUAUUAAAGAGUCAAAAAAUAACAGAUGAUGUCAAGGUUGUGGAGGAAAGGGAACUCUUACACACUGCUAGUGGGAAUGUAAAUUAGUUCAGCCACUGUGGAAAGCAGUUUGGAGAUUUCUCAAAGACUUUAAAACAGAAUUACCAUUUGACCCAGCAGUCCCAUCACUGGAUAUAGACCCAAAGGAAUAUAAAUUGUAGUGUAAAGACACAUGCACAUAUAUGUUCAUUGCAGCACUAUUCACAAUAGCAAACACAUGAAAUCAACCUAGAUGCUUAUCAGUGGUGGACUGCAUAAAGCAAACGUCAUACAUAUACACCAUGGAAUACUAUGAAGCCAUAAAAAAUUAAGUGUUUUCUGUAAUAUGGAUGCUGCAAGCGGCCAUUAUCCUAAGUGAAUUAAUGCAUAAACCAAAUACUACACGUUCUCACAACUGAAAGCCAAACACUGAAUACACAUGGAUACUAAGAAGGGCUUGAUAGAUACUGGGGCCUAAUUGAGGGUGGAGAGAGGGAGAAGGGCAAGAAUCAAAAAAUAACCCAUUGGGUACUAUGCUCAUUACCUGGGUGAUAAAAUAAUCAGACUACUAAACCCCCAUGACAUGCAAAUUAUCUAGUAACAAACCUGCACAUGUACUCCUUGAACCUAAAAUAAAAUUUGGAAGAAAAAAAUUUAAAAAGUACUUAAACCACCCACCCUCCAAAAUAAUAAAAAAUGUUAUUUCCUUUAUGAAAAAAAGAAAAUGUAUAUAUACAAUGGAAUAGUAUUUAACAAUAAAAAAGAAGGAAAUCAUGCCAUUUCUGAAAACAUAGAGGAACCUGGAAGACAUUAUGCUAAGUGAAAGAAGCCAGACUCAGAAAGAAAGAAAAAUAGUAUACUAUCUCAUGUAUAUGUGGGAUCUAAAGAAGUAGAGCACAUAGAAGCAGAAUGUAAAACAUAGGUUGCCAGAGGCUGGGAAGUGGAGAAAAUGGGGAGAUGUUGGCUGAUGUGUGCAAAUUUAUGAGUAAAUCUAUGAGUAAAUUCUGGGGAUCUAAUGUACAGCAUGAUGACUAUAAUUAAUAAUACUGUAUUGCAUUCUUGAAAUUUGCUAAGAGAGUAGAUUGUAUUUUCAACAUAAUAAAUGGUAGCUACAUGUGGUAAUGGAUAGUUAAUUAAUUUCAUCUUGACAAUCAUUUUACAAUGUAUAUCAAAUCAUCAUGUCAUAUACUUUAAAUAUAUACAAUUUUUAUUUGUCAAGUGUAUCUCAAUAAAGCUAGAAAAAAGAAGUAUAUAAGACAGUAUGUCAGAUAACCAAAUUAGAAUCCCGCAAAAAGAUCUCUUGCCAGAUUUGAAUGGGUCCAAUUUUACAAUAUGAAAUUUAAUAUACAUGUUUAACAUAAAAGCAAUUGUACAUGUAAAAUGGUUAAAAAACUCUAUUUAGCAUAUAUACUAAUAAUUUUACUUGGUAGUAGGAUAAAUAUAAAAUAUGAUUGAAUAGGUAGCAGAUUUACUUUAGGCUGAAUUAACAGAAAUAUAGUAUGUAGAAUGAAGCAGGUGACAGUCCUAUCUUCUUGUGCUCUGAUUAACUCCUGAAGUACUGCAUUCAUUUCAGAAAGCCACAUCUUAAAACAUGCCCAAACAAGCUAAAAUGUGUUUAGAGAACCAGCAUGGUGAGGGGACUCCAAAUUAAGUCACAUGAGGAAAGGUUGAAUAGAUUUUGAAUAUUUGGUAUAGCCAGGAGAAGACUCAGGGCUGAAGUCAUAGUGGGAAGAAGGACCACUAUCUUUACAAGUUUGAAGGUCUAUCAUGUACAGGCAGCAUUAGAUUUGUCAUACAUGGUCCAGAGGAGAUGAAUUAGAAUAAACAGUUAAAAAGUAAAGCUCUUUGCUUGGCAUAAGUAGAAAACUUGAAACAGUAGAGCUAUUCAAAGAUUUAACAGACUUCCAUGGGAGGCAAUUAAUUCCUCAUCAAUAAAAAUAUUUAACAACAUGCUGGAAUAUUAUAGAAAAUUGAAAUACAAUAUGACUUAUUAGGUGAUCUUUCCUGCAACUAAACCUUAAACAUAAGGGUUUGCAGACCUGUGAACAUACUCAGGAUCCAAUUUUUAAAAUGGCAUAUUAUAGGGGCAUAGUCAGUUUUUUUCUUGGUCCCCAAAAUACCUUCAGAAAUAGGCAGAGGAGAAAGAAGAGAAAGAGAAAACUCUAUGAGUAAUUAUGUGUCCAUCUAGCCACAUAUUUUUAUUUUAAAGCUCUAAAAGCAGGAUAUAUAAAAGAUCACAACCAGUAGCUAAAUAUACAUUAUAAGUGUACUUGAAUUUUCAGUGGACAACACUAUCCCAGCAUGACACAUAAGCAAAUAUCUUCUUUUUAAAAAAAAUUUUUUUUGCUAUAUUUUAAGUUGUGAGAUACAUGUGCAGAAUGUGCAGGUUUGUUACCUACAAAUACACAUGCCAUGGUGGUUUGCUGUACCCAUCAACCCAUCAUCUAUAUUAGGUAUUUCUCCUAAUGCUAUCUCUCCCCUAGCCCCCCAGCCUCCAACAGGCCCUCGUGUGUGAUGUUUCCCUCCCUGUGUCCAUGUUUUCUCAUUGUUCAACUCCCACUUGUGAGUGAGAACAUGUGGUGUUUGGUUUUCUGUUCCUGUGUUAGUUUUCUGAGAAUGAUGGUUUCCAGCUUCAUCCAUGCCCCUGCAAAGGACGUGAACUCAUUCUUUUUUAUGGCUGCAUAGUAUUCCAUGGUGUAUAUGUGCCACGUUUUCUUUGUCCAGUCUAUCAUUGAUGGGCAUUUGGGUUGAUUCCAAGUCUUUGCUAUUGUGAACAGUGCUGUAAUAAACAUACGUGUAUGUGUGUCUUUAUAGUAGAAUGAUUUAUAAUCCCUGGGGUAUAUACUCAGUAAUGGGAUGGCUGGGUCAAAUGGUAUUUCUGAUUCUAUAUCCUUCAGCAAUUGCCACACUGUCUUCAACAAUAGUUGAACUAAUUUACACUCCCACCAACAGUGUAAAAGCAUUCCUAUUUCUCCACAUCCUUGCCAGCAUCUGUUGUUUCCUGACUUUUUAAUGAUCGCCAUUCUAAUUGGCAUGAGAUGGUAUCUCAUUGUGGUUUUGAUUUGCAUUUCUCUAAUGACCAGUGAUGAUGAGCUUUUCUUCAUAUGUUUGUUCGCUACAUAAAUGUUUUCUUUUGAGAAGUGUCUGUUCAUAUCCUUUGUCCACUUUUUGAUGAGGUUGUUUGUUUUUUUCUUGUAAAUUUUUUUAAGUUCUUUGUAGAUUCUGCAUAUUAGCCCUUUGUCAGAUGGACAUAUUGCAGAAAUUUUCUCCCAUUCUGUGGGUUGCCUGUUCACUCUGAUGAUAGUUUCUUCUGCUGUGCAGAGGCUCUUUAGUUUCAUUAUAUCCCAUUUGUCAAUUUUGGCUUUUGUUGCUUUUGCUUUUGGUGUUUUAGUCAUGAAGUCUUUGCCCAUGCCUAUGUCCUGAAUGGUAUUGCCUAAGUUUUCUUCUAGGGUUUUUAUGGGUUUAGGUCUAACAUUUAAAUCUUUAAUCCAUCUGGAGUUAAUUUUUGUAUAAGGUGUAAGGAAGGGGUCCAGUUUCAGUUUUCUGCAUAUGGCUAGCCAGUUUUCCCAACACUAUUUAUUAAAUAGGGAAUUUUUUCCCCAUUACUUAUUUUUGUCAGUUUCAUAGAAUUAGAAAAAACUACUUUAAAUUUUAUAUGGAACCAAAAAUGAGCCCACAUAGCUAAGACAGUCCUAAGCAAAAAUAACCUAGCUAUAGGUAUCACACUACCUGACUUCAAAUUAUACUACAAGGGUACAGUAACCAAAACAGCAUGGUGCUGGUGCCAAAACAGAUAUACAGACAAAUGGAACAGAACAGAGGCCUCAGAAAUAACACCACACAUCUACAACCAUCCGAUCUUUGACAAAUAUCUUCUAAAUUCUUCCUCUUUUGCCAUUUUCUAUGCUCUUCAGUUUCCGUUGUCUUUGCAUUUAUCUGUUCUUCUUGUCCCACUUACACUCUGGCAAAUAUCUCCAUUAUCAGCAUUGCUAAUCCUGUUUUAUUGAAGAACAUCUUGCAGGAAGGCAAAUGAUCCUGCAUGGCUAGGAAAAAAAAUAAACAAUAUAAGAAUAAACACUCUGGAGAGCUGUUUGCCCCAAUGCCAUAUUGUAUACAAUUCAAAACAGAGACCUUAGUAGUAGUCUAUUAUUUUAAGGGCAAUCCAAACACUAGAACAAAGUAAAUGAGUAGUUAAUAUUGAAUUCAAUAAUACAUACAACAGAAUGCCAGCUCUCCCUAAAGGGAGAUUAUGAAUCACCAAGACCAAAUUCUUUAUUUUACAGAUGAGGAAAUGAAAGCCCAGGGAGAUGAAUUCAUUUUCUCAUAAUUCUAUAGCCAGAUGCUUUAGUUUGUUGAGCUGAAUAGAUAUUUUGCUUCAAAGUAUUUAUGAUAGUUAAAGCAAGUUCACUUGAUGUCUUUGUUUUGGUUACUGAUUACUUUUUAAAAAAUGCUUCAGUUUGGAAUUUCCAGUUUUUUCCUGUUUUUGGCUCAAGUCACAGGUAUUAAGUUUCGAUUUCCAAUAUUAUUAAUAAAAGUAGGUUUACCAGUGAUAACAAAGUGUUUUACCUAUGUUGCAAUGAUAAUUCUGAGCCAUUCACAGUGGAAAACAUGCUUGUCUAGGCAAUUGAGGUUGUGCUUCUGCAAAAGGGAAUGGUUGCACUUUGAGUCUCCUAUCCCCUGCUCUCAUUAUUAAAUAAAUAAGCUCUAAGAAAACUCUAAAUCUAAAAUCUUAUUUUCUGCUAGUGUUCCUGGUAGUUCAGUUUACCAGAUUUCUAAGGCAUUGUACUUCAUUCUUUAGAGUUAUUAGCAAUCUCAGUCCAUUUAGUCUUGGGAGGAUCCCAGGCUGAAAACUGAGUACAAAACAGAAGCUGGCACCGACCAACUUCCAUAAAAAAGGCUGGAAGAACAACAUGAGUAAUCAAGACCCCAAAGACACCUUUUUUUGGAGGCUUGUUCCAGUAGUACUCUUUUGAGUCAGAAGAAGUUACCAAUGUCAGUGAGUAGAGAGAGCAAAGGUUUAUUUCUUUUAACAAAUGAAGUGUGAUAAAUUCCUAGCUAUUACUCCAAAAUGUCCCAGGAAGGGGUACACCUUAUGUAUGCUUCACCCCAGUAUGUAACAAGAUAGUUUAGUGCUUGUUGUUCAUUUUAAUUCAAUACAGCUGUCACCACAAAGAUGACAAUUAACGUGAAUACAAGUUUUCAUAACUUACCCUCCAAUAAUAAUCUAUCCUUCUGCCGACGGAUAUUAUGAUCUAUAAGUUUAUUUUAAAAGCUAAUAUAAGAACUCAAACCAAAAGAAGAAGCAAAGGAAAGAUAAGUGGUUGGAGAACUCAUUGAGGUGAACUGCUAGUGUCAAAAAAACCCUAUUAUGCAGAGCCAUGUUCUGUCAUUAGGUUGAUAUCUUUUCUACCAGAAUCAGGGACUAUUAUGAGCAACUAUUCACUAAUAAACCUAGAGGAAAUGAAUAAAUUCCUGGACACAUAUAACCUACCAAGAAUGAAUCAAGAAGAAAUAGAAAACGUGAACAGGCCAAUAACAGGUAAUGAAAUCAAAACAACACUAAAAAGUCUCCCCACACCAAAAAAAAAGUCCAGGACUGGAUGGGUUCACUGCCCAAUUCUACCAAACUUUCAAAGAAGAACUAACACAAAUUAUCUUAAAACUAUUACAAAAAAUCGAAGAGGAGGACUUUCUCCCUUACUCAUUCUACAAGGUCAGUAUUAUUUUGAUACCAAAACCAGACAAAGACACAAAAAGAAAAGAAAACUACAGUCCAAUAUCCCUGAUGAGCAUAGACACAAAAAUCUUCAGCAAAAUACUGGCAAACCAAAUCCAACAGCACAUCAAAAAACGUAAUACAAUAUGAUCAGUUGAUAUUUACCCCAGGGAUUUAAGGGGUAUUUACCCCAGGGAUUUAAGUUGAUAUUUAUACCAGGGAUUCAAUAUGUAUAAAUCAAUAAAUGUGAUACAUCAUGUCAACAGAAUCAAGGACAAAACCCAUAUGACCAUUUCAACAGACACAGAAAAA
RNAcentral lists this long non-coding RNA (19275 nucleotides) under Homo sapiens (human). RNAcentral describes it as "non-protein coding lnc-NAP1L2-4:1". Lineage: Eukaryota; Metazoa; Chordata; Mammalia; Primates; Hominidae. The record is from RNAcentral.